GUCUCCAUUCACAUAGAUGGAUCGUGGUAGGCCUUGCUGAAGUGGCCUCUGCCGUCCGGGUCGUCCUUCUAGAAUUCGCGGUGCAGUUAUUAGCUGUAUCGAUCUGCAUCAUCUCCAUCAUCCGGGUCGUCCUCAUGGGAUCCGUGGGAUAGUUAUUGGGCGUAAUGAUCGGUGAUGCGAUGGUGCGUCCAUGUCGGGACCUCGUGUGGGUGAUCGUCUGUCCGAUGAUGAUUUACUAUGUGAGGGCCGUCCUGCUGUUCAUCGUGUCGUUGGCUCUGCAUCUACUGGGGUUCGAGGUCAGACUUCAUCUGCUGCUGAUUUGCGUCGACGGCACAAAGAGAUCCGACUGGGAAACGUCCUGUUAAUUGCGAUGUUGUUGCAGAUCACGCGGAGCCGUUGUGUGCACUCAACCUUCUACUACUUUGUGUGUGCUAUUUUGUAUUGCAGGUUAUCAGGCUUAGAUCUGCUUGCAUAUUCCUUCAUUGUUUUGUGUCAGUUUGAUAUGAAUACGUAGCCUACCUUAUGUAUUGGAAACUGUUGUUGAAACCGUUGCUGGGUGAUGUCCAGUUCGAGGAAUGGCUGCAUUUGUGUUUGCAUUCAUGUGUUUAUAGAUCAAUGUUAGUACUAACAUAUUGAGUGA
This is a long non-coding RNA of Triticum aestivum (bread wheat), 640 nucleotides long. RefSeq lists it as uncharacterized. NCBI's taxonomy places the organism in Eukaryota, Viridiplantae, Streptophyta, Magnoliopsida, Poales, Poaceae. The transcript has 3 exons. The record is from RefSeq and is a predicted model, not a curated record.